This 926-nucleotide long non-coding RNA is filed under the name Rattus norvegicus (Norway rat). RNAcentral describes it as "long non-coding RNA NONRATT011235". Lineage: Eukaryota; Metazoa; Chordata; Mammalia; Rodentia; Muridae. The record is from RNAcentral.
GUACACUGUAGCUGUCUUCAGACACACCAGAAGAGGGAAUCGGAUCUCUUUACAGAUGGUUGUGAGCCACCAUGUGGUUGCUGGGAAUUGAACUCAGGGCCUCUGGAAGAGCAGUCAGUGCUCUUAACCUCUGAGCCAUGUCUCCAGCCCCCUUGCCUCAGAUUUAUAUCUCAUCACAUCUGCCUGCACUGCUGGCCUAAGCCAGGCUAUUCUGUAUAUUCAUGAUGGCUACUAUAAAGUCUUAAAAUCAGUUCAAAGUUUUUCAUUGUGAGGCUUACAUUUUAGUUAAGUAUAAAAGUUUCUAAGACGUGUUGGGGUAAUGGUAAAUACUUAUGAGUAUUUACUGUAAUUCCAGAGGCCCCAAAUUUGGUUUCCAGCACCCACAUAGUGGCUCACAACUACCCAUAAUUCCAGUUCCAAGGGAUUUGAUCUCCUGACUUCCACAAGCAUUUGACACACACAUCGUUCAGCAUGCAAAACAUUGGCGCACAUGAAAUAAGUCAUUUAAAAAUGUGUAAGAAACAAGGUCUCUUCCCACAAUAAAAUCAACUUCCACGGUAGCAAAACAUUUGCUGCUGUGGAUCGGUUGCUUGUAUUUCAAUCCAGAGGGCAGAGUCACACUAAGUGCCAUUCAUGGUUGGAACUCAGCAAGUAGGGUUCAGAUUUAGCUCCAUUUCUUGAACAUCUACCUUGCAAAAGGAGCUACAUGGCCUUAGUUAUACUCAUGUGCAGAAAGACCCAAUAUUUAGAAGACAUCAGUGAGCUUGUAGUUCAGUGUGGACUGCAAAGGAGGGCGGUGACUGCCAGGGGAAGAACAACGGACAAACCAUCUUAGGGAUGUUCAGAUAGUGGCUGGAGAUAAAGGACAAGAGUUUGAAGACAAUGGAAAACUGAGAAAUACUGAUAACCAUUCCUAAGUUUAAAUU